CUAAGUGAUGAAAACAUAUUUUACACAGACCUGUACUGAACUUUGUCAUGCAGAUAAACGAUAUUGCCUUUUUUUUCUGAUU
The sequence is a small nucleolar RNA, 82 nucleotides long. It matches the Rfam family "Small nucleolar RNA snR56".